Molecule: non-coding RNA, 25 nt
Filed under: Cricetulus griseus (Chinese hamster)
Lineage: Eukaryota; Metazoa; Chordata; Mammalia; Rodentia; Cricetidae
Source: RNAcentral
UAUUUGGGGAGAAACUGCGAGAACA